UGCAUCUUUUACUAUGAACUUGACUUUGAUGU
RNAcentral lists this non-coding RNA (32 nucleotides) under Rattus norvegicus (Norway rat). The record is from RNAcentral. Lineage: Eukaryota; Metazoa; Chordata; Mammalia; Rodentia; Muridae.